AAAAAUCUUCAUAUAUAGUGAAAUCAGUCAAUUUCUUCAAGCCUUCAACUCUCCAUACUUAGCUAGUUUCUGUAUUCAUGAAUUAUAAUUUUUCAAAACAGCAUCCUGGUAACACCGCAUUCAGCCAUAUUUACACUAAUUAAACCAACAAAAGUAGUAUUAUAAACAAUCUGAUGAAGAUUGCCCCCGGUUUAUAUAUGUAUGUUAAGUACAUUCCCACACUUCCCU
This 228-nucleotide long non-coding RNA is filed under the name Glycine max (soybean). Its description in RNAcentral is "long non-coding RNA (GMAX_LNC001781)". Lineage: Eukaryota; Viridiplantae; Streptophyta; Magnoliopsida; Fabales; Fabaceae. The record is from RNAcentral.